RNAcentral lists this ribosomal RNA (496 nucleotides) under uncultured bacterium. Its description in RNAcentral is "partial 16S ribosomal RNA". It matches the Rfam family "Bacterial small subunit ribosomal RNA", at positions 29 to 507 of the family's 1533-position model. The record is from RNAcentral.
AUGAACGCUGGCGGCGUGCCUAAUACAUGCAAGUCGAUCGAACGGACGAGAAGCUUGCUUUUCUGAUGUUAGCGGCGGACGGGUGAGUAACACGUGGAUAACCUACCUAUAAGACUGGGAUAACUUCGGGAAACCGGAGCUAAUACCGGAUAAUAUUUUGAACCGCAUGGUUCAAAAGUGAAAGACGGUCUUGCUGUCACUUAUAGAUGGAUCCGCGCUGCAUUAGCUAGUUGGUAAGGUAACGGCUUACCAAGGCAACGAUGCAUAGCCGACCUGAGAGGGUGAUCGGCCACACUGGAACUGAGACACGGUCCAGACUCCUACGGGAGGCAGCAGUAGGGAAUCUUCCGCAAUGGGCGAAAGCCUGACGGAGCAACGCCGCGUGAGUGAUGAAGGUCUUCGGAUCGUAAAACUCUGUUAUUAGGGAAGAACAUAUGUGUAAGUAACUGUGCACAUCUUGACGGUACCUAAUCAGAAAGCCACGGCUAACUACGUG